RNAcentral lists this non-coding RNA (240 nucleotides) under Bacillus sp. (in: firmicutes). RNAcentral's name for it is "Bacillus sp. T-box sequence". It matches the Rfam family "T-box leader". Rfam says of the family: Uncharged tRNA acts as the effector for transcription antitermination of genes in the T-box leader family. T-boxes are found upstream of many aminoacyl-tRNA synthetase genes and some amino acid biosynthetic genes usually in Gram-positive bacteria. The anticodon of a specific tRNA base pairs to a specifier sequence within the T-box motif, and the NCCA acceptor tail of the tRNA base pairs to a conserved bulge in the T-box antiterminator hairpin. The record is from RNAcentral. Lineage: Bacteria; Bacillati; Bacillota; Bacilli; Caryophanales; Bacillaceae.
ACUUGAAUGUUGAAGAGGAGAGUAGAAAAGGUACAUCCUUUCCAGAGAGAAUCGCCAUGGCUGCAAGCGAUUCAUGUGAUGACUUUUUUGAAAUGCACCUCGGAGUCUGUUACUAAAAGGCCCUAAAGCUUAGUAAGUGACAGCGGCAACCUCCCGUUACGAGGCUUAAGUGGGGAUAUGGGCCCUUUUAGUAGAAACCAUAUCCAAACAGAGUGGAACCGCGCCAUAAGCGUCUCUGUG